CCUACGGGUGGCAGCAGUGGGGCAUAUUUGGCAAUGGAGGAAACUCUGACCCAGCAACGCCGCGUGAAUGAUGAAGGUCUUUGGAUUGUAAAGUUCUUUUCUAAGGGAAGAAGAAAGUGACGGUACCUUAGGAAUAAGCCUCGGCUAACUACGUGACAGCAGCCGCGGUAAUACUUCGGAGGCGAGCGUUAUUCGUCAUGACUGGGCGUAAAGGGUGCGUAGGUGGGUGGGCAAGUUAGUAGCGUAACUCCAAGGCUCAACCUUGGAACUACUACUAAAACUGUUGGACUUGAGUGCAGGAGGGGGAACCGGAAUUCCGAGUGUAGCGGUGGAAUGCGUAGAUAUUAGGAGGAACACCAGUGGCGAAGGCGGGUUGCUAGACUGUAACUGACGCUGAGGCACGAAAGCGAGGGGAGCGAAAGGGAUUAGAUACCCGGGUAGUC
RNAcentral lists this ribosomal RNA (443 nucleotides) under uncultured bacterium. RNAcentral's name for it is "partial 16S ribosomal RNA". It matches the Rfam family "Bacterial small subunit ribosomal RNA", at positions 338 to 795 of the family's 1533-position model. The record is from RNAcentral.